AGCCCGCUCAGAAACUCAAAGGAAUUGACGGGGGCCCGCACAAGCGGUGGAGCAUGUGGUUUAAUCGAUGAUACGCGAGGAACCUUACCUGGGCUCAAAUGUAUGUUGACGUAUUCUGAAAGGGAUACUUCUUCGGACAAUAUACAAGGUGCUGCAUGGUUGUCGUCAGCUCGUGCCGUGAGGUGUCGGGUUAAGUCCCAUAACGAGCGCAACCCCUAUCAUUAGUUGCCAUCAGGUCAAGCUGGGGACUCUAAUGAAACUGCCUACGCAAGUAGUGAGGAAGGUGGGGAUGACGUCAAAUCAGCACGGCCCUUACGUCCAGGGCUACACACGUGCUACAAUGGCCGGUACAAAGGGCAGCGACACUGCGAGGUGAAGCCAAUCCCGUAAAAUCGGUCUCAGUCCGGAUUGGAGUCUGCAACUCGACUCCAUGAAGUUGGAAUCGCUAGUAAUCGUGGAUCAGCAUGCCACGGUGAAUACGUUCCCGGGCCUU
This 493-nucleotide ribosomal RNA is filed under the name uncultured Sphingobacteriales bacterium. RNAcentral describes it as "bacterial SSU rRNA". It matches the Rfam family "Bacterial small subunit ribosomal RNA", at positions 886 to 1382 of the family's 1533-position model. The record is from RNAcentral. Lineage: Bacteria; Pseudomonadati; Bacteroidota; Sphingobacteriia; Sphingobacteriales.